Equus caballus (horse) is the source of this 3316-nucleotide long non-coding RNA. NCBI's taxonomy places the organism in Eukaryota, Metazoa, Chordata, Mammalia, Perissodactyla, Equidae. The record is from Ensembl.
CUACACUUUUGAGUGUGAGAUUUCUUUUUUGAACCUAUUGACUCUCUCAUGGUUUUGCCUUCUUAUUAUUUAAAAACUUUAAUUGUGUAUUCUUCAGUGAAAAUUGUCAACACGUGAGAGUCCUGUGCUUGACCUAGGUUGUAGAGGCAGCAAUUUUUUACCCAAGUUUAUUUCUGUCAUAUUCCUACGGGUUUAAUUGGUUCUGGUUAUUCCUUUGUUUGCUUCUUGACACAGGUUUCUUUACCUUAGGAGUAAGUGUGAGUUUGGGUUCCACACUUUUUGUACAGGGUGGAUAUUCUUUUUCAUCUCAUGGCCCAGAGCAUGUGGCCUGUAUCUGUGUUACAUUUCCAUGCCAGAGGGCAGAUUUUGUUUUUCUAUUUCACUAACUCUAGCUCUCUUUUCAUGGAAGAGACAACUCCUUUGUUUUUUUUUUUUUUAAAGAUUUUAUUUUUUCCUUUUUCUCCCCAAAGCCCCCCAGUACAUAGUUGUAUAUUUCUCGUUGUGGGUUCUUCUAGUUGUGGUAUGUGGGACGCCGCCUCAGCGUGGUCUGACGAGCAGUGCCAUGUCCGCGCCCAGGAUUCGAACCAACGAAACACUGGGACGCCUGCAGCGGAGCGCGCGAACUUAACCACUCGGCCACGGGGCCAGCCCCGAGACAACUCCUUUCUGGUUCCUGGAUUUGUGGAUAAACUCUGGCUUCUAAGUUCUCGCUUCUUCCCUUGUACAAGCCACAAGAAUUCUGGUGAGUUCCAGGUGAUUAGGAAGAGACCACAGAAAACACGUGUAUGUGUGUGCAAACACACGCAAACACAUAUAGUAUGAGUAAAUGAAGUUUCCGGCUUAACUAGGUAAAGAUGUAAAUUCGUAUUGGAAGUACUAAGUUCACAUAGAGCAGGAAUUCAUGGGACAAAUCUCAUUUGAGCUUCCCUUGAUUUACAGAGCAAAGACAGUGACUUGUACCUGCCAGAUCUGAGGUGCUCAGUUCUCAUCACUUUAUGCUCACCAUUUGGAGUGCUUUAUACCAACACACUAGGUAUGUCUAUUUCAGGGAGAGUUUAAAAACACUGGAUUUUCCUUGUUUUUGCACCAAGCUCAGUGUUAGCAAGGCCACAUGCUCACUUGAGGAGAUAUAAGAAUCUGCACACAGAUGUUUUGAAUAAUUUCUCAGCCUUCAGCUUGCUGCUGUCCUGGACAGCCUGUUUCUCCACAGGUCACCUUUUAUUCUGAUUUUAUUCUGAUUUAUCUGGAUAACUCUGAUAAUUAAUCUGAUCUAAAUCCAUUAUUCUAAAGUAGAAUUCAAACGGCAAGCAUUUAUUGAGCAUUGACUAUCUCCCAGCCAGAAUGUAGCUGCUGCGGAAGUAGUGGACUCAGACAUCGUCCUUGUCUCAGGUGGAGUUCACGGCCUGGUGAGUUUGCAUGAUUUUGUUUUUCUCCCUUCUGUUUAUUAUCAUUAUUGCUGUUGUUUGUCUUAUACAUAUAGUUACCAUGAUAUCUGCUUUGAUUAAAAAAUUGUCUAGAUAAAGGCUCAUAUAAUACCCACUAUUCUGCAAUGGUCAGAUCAUGCUCAACUCAUGUUGCUCGGUUUGGGGUAUUAUACUUUAAGAGAGACAUAGAGCACCAUUUAUUCAGAAAUGACCAGGAUGUUGGGGAGAUGUGAAACCAUGCAGUGUGAAAAUGUGGUGAAAUGAUUGGAGAAAUAGAAUUUCUCAUAAUAAAGUUGGGAAGACUGGUAUUCACCAAUCCCUUCAUCCCUUUUUCACGUAACAUGAUGACAUUCACAGUAAGAGUCUGUCAUCUUCUAUUUCUGUCAAUGUGAAUGUCAUAUUAACUAUUUAACCAGAGCCCAGCACAUGGCUUUAGUACGUGGACUAGACUGUCACAGGCUCCCAAUGGCUAACAGGAGGGAUAAGGCCCUCCACUCUUUAUUACUCAUCUAAUACCAAUGCCAAUGGCUGGCUCAAGUCUUGUUUACAUAAAAGGAUGCGAAAGCUACCAUUGUAUACUAAAGAAGGCCCUUCACAUUUGUUUCUGGUCAAAUCCAAAUGCGAAUGGUCUUUAAUUUAUUUAUUUACCAAAGAAUAAAUUAUAGCUUUUCACACUGAGAGUAAACUCUUUCCAUCUGUCUCUUCCCAAAAUCGUGUUGUGCCACGCAUGAGGCUUGGUGAGCCACAGAGAGAGUCACGUUUCUUUCUACUAACUGAAACAAGCUUGGAGAAAGUUAGCCCUCAGAACGUUAAAUAUUUGUUAUGGGUUCUACGAAUGGAAAAUAUGAACAUGAAAUUAGUUUUUCUUUUUCUUGCAAAUACGAUCUAUCCAUAAAAUGGUAGGACACCAACACAAAAAUGAUUUUCCUGCAUGAUAAAUUCAUUGCUCUCUACAUCAAUUUGGGGGAAGAGGGGAUAGAAAAAUUGGAACUCUGGCUUGCUAUCAAAUUUAAAUCGUUACCAGACAAGAGCAUGCUAAAGCCCAAAUACUGUGGUUUGGAAGUAUCUGAAUCUACUCCAAAUUGCCGUUGGACAACAUCACACAGGUUUAAAUUCAUUGAGCUUAUAUAAGAAAUUACUCUUUGCUUGUACUGGUUCCAUCUGUUCUAAACUGCAGUGAACAUGUCCCACUUGUGUCUGCAGCCCCAGGAAAGGUGGCCCAAGGUGCACACGGGGCCAUGUGCUAGUAAAGGGUUACUUUCCAGCUCUAGUUUUAGAUUUAACCCCUUUCUUAGAGAAUUGAAGAGAGAAGCAGAGUGGAAAGGAAAGAAUGCUUUAUUCCUCAAAGAAAAUUGUAUUCAUAUUCUUUCCUCCCAUUUUCCCCUGAAGUCUUUAAACUUGCACAGACCAUUUUAUUCUCUAGUUUAAGGUUAACUUCAAAACAUCUCCGGACACAUCUUGCUUUGUGUCCUCUUGGGUAUGUUAUUUCGAUAAGCUCAUGUUUAUCUCAGUUCUAGGGAAGGAGAUGAAGAGAUGGUUUUGCACACGAACUGUGAUAUGUAAAGUAUGACACUCCAGCACUUUUUGGAAUCAUCUCUUUCAAUGAAAACUAUUCAAUUUCAUCCUUUCACUUUUUACUGCCCUUUCUCCUCUUCCCAUCAGCACCUUCCAAGAGAAAUUUGCACAGUUGACAUAUUGCAGAAAUACACAUUUUUAAUCUGAUACAUUCAGAAGUCCUUGGUUUGCAAAUAGUACCUGGCAUGUAUUGAGCACUUAGGCCACAAUAGAACAUAAUUGACAUAUUGGAAACUUUUUUAAAGAAUGUGCAUUCUCCCUCAUAAUGGUUGUCUUUGAUUUUGCAAAUGCACCUUUAUAUUACCGUAAACUAGGAG